GGGCAGCAUUACUUCUUCUCUGGGCUGCACCCAACUUGUUUUUUCUUGAUGGGAGCCAGUGUGUAAUAGCCCUUAGCCCACAGCGGGUAACAAUCUUGACAAGAAAUAGAAGAAAUAGUAGGAGCACAUCGAAGUGCUUUAAAUUAACCCGAGUCUCCAGGGUCAGACAAAUUACAUCCUUGGGGUACAGAAAAGAAAAAUUUAUAGCUGUGAUUAGAGAAAACCAUCAGUAAUCUCUGAAGAAUCCCAGAGAAUCAGGGAGGUGCCGUAUUUUUCCAAAGAAAGAAAAAGAUGAAUUCUGAAAAUUACUGGGUAGUGUCUAAGAGCAAUUUCUUACAAAAUUCUGGAAGGAAUUAUUAAACGGGUAACUUGUCAGCUCUUAGAAUGAGAAAUGGUGAUUAUUAGGAAUCAUGCUAAAUUAACUUCCUUUUUCUUCUUAUGUUUCUAAGAGUGGGAAGCCCAGGGAAGGCUGUAAGUCUGAUAGGUUUGAUUUUAGAUAGGUGUUUACAAAUCUCCUAAUGAUAUCCUUAUACACCGUAUGUAGAUAUUUGGUACAGAUAAUAGCUCAGUCAAAUGAAUUUGUGGUUGGUUGAAUGAUUAUACUUUCAGUUAAAUCACACAUAGUAUGAGGAAAAGCGUUGAUAGUAGGUCUCUGUACCAAUCAGGGUUCAAUUAUAGAACUCUUAGGAAUGAUAUGUAAUAAGGCAUUGAUCCUAGGGAUUUGACUUUAUACAACUGUGGGAUCAAAUUAAAUGUUUAUGUACUUUUGCUAGGUAUCAAGUCAGCACUGCAGGAAAUCAGGAAGAAAAGAUGGAUAGGAAGAAGGGCAAGGGCUGGAAUGUGUGCAGAGGAUGGUCUGGAUCUUGCUUCAGCCUCCAAAUUCCCAGUUCCUAUGAUGCAGGUAUCUGGCAGAAGAAGCUGAGGUCCAAACAUGCACCCGGCCUGGGGGCAGGAGAAGCUGGAGGAGCUGUGGCCCUGGCAGCUGCUUCAUCCAGUAAGGUCAGCCAGCAGAUUCAUAACCCAUCUGUAGGAGCCACAUAAGUACCUGGCCCAAGGCCACCAGGCUUCCAAGCUCAAAUAUGGCAGCUGGUGGGUCACUUCUGC
This 1104-nucleotide long non-coding RNA is filed under the name Sus scrofa (pig). RNAcentral describes it as "lncRNA (ENSSSCG00005035344.1)". The record is from RNAcentral. Lineage: Eukaryota; Metazoa; Chordata; Mammalia; Artiodactyla; Suidae.